CAAGCAAAUCGAGCUAACCUGGUCUCCAAGUCAUAAGGACCUCACCUAACAGUUAUUGGCCCCGUUCCUUGGUUAAGUCGGACCCACCGUAUAUCCCUGCGGAAAUAAAGCUGUCAUUGGGUCCUCACCUAACAGUUAUUAGAGCCCAACCCCAUCUUUACCCCACAACAUCACAUGUAAUAGAGAGGUCCAAUCCCCCGAUGCAACUAGCCCACUGUAUCCAGCCGAGACUAAUCAACGCCGAAAAGAUCUUAGCAGCUCUACUACGGUGGAAGGCCAAUUGACUUAAUAUUGGGUAAUCAAUUCUUAGUGAUUCCAACCUUAAGCUUUCAUAGAAGGUAAUCGAUCAAUUGGCCAGAUAAGCAGGUAGGAGGCACCUCUUACUCAGAGAGUAAGGUCCUAAUUAAGUAACCACCUUUAAGCUUUCCUAGACACCAAUUAGAUCAAUUAUCCAAAUAGGCCUAGCUCAAUGUAUCGUUUACUCUCGAUUGAUUUAGGGAGGUUUU
This 506-nucleotide long non-coding RNA is filed under the name Phoenix dactylifera (date palm). Its description in RNAcentral is "long non-coding RNA (PDAC_LNC009442)". The record is from RNAcentral. Lineage: Eukaryota; Viridiplantae; Streptophyta; Magnoliopsida; Arecales; Arecaceae.